AUAGAGAUAAGCUAAUAAUAAGCUACUGGGCCCAUACCCCAUCUAUAGGAUUUUGACCUUCUCUUUAUU
This 69-nucleotide transfer RNA is filed under the name Scolopocryptops sp. 1 YG-2013. Its description in RNAcentral is "tRNA-Met". The record is from RNAcentral. Lineage: Eukaryota; Metazoa; Arthropoda; Chilopoda; Scolopendromorpha; Cryptopidae.